This 91-nucleotide microRNA precursor is filed under the name Ornithorhynchus anatinus (platypus). Its description in RNAcentral is "mir-191 microRNA precursor family". It matches the Rfam family "mir-191 microRNA precursor family". Lineage: Eukaryota; Metazoa; Chordata; Mammalia; Monotremata; Ornithorhynchidae. The record is from Rfam by way of RNAcentral.
AGCUUGACAGCAGGCAACGGAAUCCCAAAAGCAGCUGUUGUCUCCAGAGCAUUCCAGCUGCAGUUGGAUUUCGUUCCCUGCUAUCCUGCAA